Molecule: ribosomal RNA, 233 nt
Filed under: uncultured bacterium
Lineage: Bacteria
Description: partial 16S ribosomal RNA
Rfam family: Bacterial small subunit ribosomal RNA
Source: RNAcentral
UGAGCAACCUGCCCCUGACUCUGGGAUAAACCCCGGGAAACCGGAGCUAAUACCGGAUACGACACGCGAAGGCAUCUUCUGCGUGUAGAAAGAUUUAUCGGUCAGGGGUGGGCUCGCGGCCUAUCAGCUUGUUGGUGGGGUAAUGGCCCACCAAGGCGACGACGGGUAGCCGGCCUGAGAGGGCGACCGGCCACACUGGGACUGAGACACGGCCCAGACUCCUACGGAAGGCA